AUAUACCUGUUUCGCUUCUUCCAUAUGAAAAUAGACUCAUCAAGAUUCGAUUCCAUAACUUAUUCAUUAUUUAAUUCCAUUUAUACUAUUUUUAGUGAUUUUUCAAAUUCAAACUACUGCUACUUACCAAAAACUGUUUUAGUACAAAUAUUGUUAACUAGUUUAUAACAUCUUUACUUCAAUUCAUUCAAACUCUAUACAUGCCAUAUAAAUCUUUAAACAUAAAACAAAAACUACCGGAAUUGAUCUGAAUAGUGUGCCCUGUUGUGUUGAUCCGAUCUACCAACUUCUCUUUAAUUCAAUCUACAAAAGAAAUUAUCAAACACACACAAGUAAGCUUAUUGAAGCUUAGUAAGCUCAUAGGCAUAAAAACACAAAUCAUAUCAAAUAUUGUACACAAUCAUAUAUCUAUUAGUUUAACUAUUUCAUCCUCCAAAUCACAAUUUCAUUAAUAACUCAUUGGAAUAAUUUCCAUAUGGCUACUCACAAUUUAACUCCCUUAGGCCCAUUUCUCAUUUACUUCAUUGUCAAAUUAGGGAACAAUAAGGGAAUUGAGUGCUUCAUUAUCACAUUGCCAUACUAAACUAUGGACUUUCGCAUUGUUACGCAUCACACACUGAAGCCAUAGCCUUGCCAUGGUCUUACAUGGUUCACAUAUCAUACCGAAGCCAUAUCCCAGACAUGGUCUUAUACGGAAUCACAUUAUCACAUUAUACCUAUGCCAUAGCCCAGCUAUGGUCUUAUACAGAGUCACAUUAUCACAUUGCACCGAUGCCAUAGCCCAGCUAUGGUCUUAAACGGGCGCACUUAUCACAUAUUUUUCGUCAAUUCAUCAGGGUCACAGAAUAGAAACACUCAAAUCCAUUGUUCCUACUAAUUUGUACUUUUAGUUACACAUUAUUUAUUAGUUAAUGCAAAUUGAUAGUAUUCAUCAACAAUAAAAUACUUUAACAAUCAUAAGACUUUCAUAACAAAACAUUGAACUUUGCCAUAUGAACUUACCUGGACUAAUU
This 1013-nucleotide long non-coding RNA is filed under the name Gossypium barbadense (sea-island cotton). RNAcentral's name for it is "long non-coding RNA (GBAR_LNC003942)". The record is from RNAcentral. Lineage: Eukaryota; Viridiplantae; Streptophyta; Magnoliopsida; Malvales; Malvaceae.